GCAAGUCGAGCGCAUUGGCCCAACUGAUAUGACGUGCUUGCACUGAAUUGACGUUGGAUUACCAGUGAGCGGCGGACGGGUGAGUAACACGUGGGCAACCUGCCCUGAAGCGGGGGAUAACAUCUGGAAACAGGUGCUAAUACCGCAUAACAACGAAAACCACAUGGUUUUCGUUUCAAAGAUGGUUUCGGCUAUCACUUCAGGAUGGGCCCGCGGUGCAUUAGCUAGUUGGUAAGGUAACGGCUUACCAAGGCAAUGAUGCAUAGCCGAGUUGAGAGACUGAUCGGCCACAAUGGAACUGAGACACGGUCCAUACUCCUACGGGAGGCAGCAGUAGGGAAUCUUCCACAAUGGGCGCAAGCCUGAUGGAGCAACACCGCGUGAGUGAAGAAGGGUUUCGGCUCGUAAAGCUCUGUUGUUGGAGAAGAACGUGCGUGAGAGUAACUGUUCACGCAGUGACGGUAUCCAACCAGAAAGUCACGGCUAACUACGUGCCAGCAGCCGCGGUAAUACGUAGGUGGCAAGCGUUAUCCGGAUUUAUUGGGCGUAAAGCGAGCGCAGGCGGUUGCUUAGGUCUGAUGUGAAAGCCUUCGGCUUAACCGAAGAAGGGCAUCGGAAACCGGGCGACUUGAGUGCAGAAGAGGACAG
Molecule: ribosomal RNA, 648 nt
Filed under: Limosilactobacillus vaginalis
Lineage: Bacteria; Bacillati; Bacillota; Bacilli; Lactobacillales; Lactobacillaceae
Description: bacterial SSU rRNA
Rfam family: Bacterial small subunit ribosomal RNA
Source: RNAcentral